GUCUAGGGAAACUAGCCUGAAUGGAGGGGGAUAACUACUGGAAACGGUACCUAAUACCGCAUAACGUCGCAAGACCAAAGAGGGGGACCUUCGGGCCUCUUGCCAUCGGAUGUGCCCAAAUGGGAUUAAUAGUAGGUGGGGUAACGGCUCACCUAGGCGACGAUCCCUAGCUGGUCUGAGAGGAUGACCAGCCACACUGGAACUGAAACACGGUCCAAACUCCUACGGGAGGCAGCAGUGGGGAAUAUUGCACAAUGGGCGCAAGCCUGAUGCAGCCAUGCCGCGUGUAUGAAGAAGGCCUUCGGGUUGUAAAGUACUUUCACCGGGGAGGAAGGCGAUAAGGUUAAUAACCUUGUCGAUUGACGUUACCCGCAGAAGAAGCACCGGCUAACUCCGUGCCAGCAGCCGCGGUAAAUACGGAGGGUGCAAGCGUUAAAUCGGAAUUACUUGGGGCGGAAAAGCCGGCACGGCAGGACGGUCUGUCCAAGUCCAGAUGUGAAA
RNAcentral lists this ribosomal RNA (501 nucleotides) under Enterobacter cloacae. RNAcentral's name for it is "bacterial SSU rRNA". It matches the Rfam family "Bacterial small subunit ribosomal RNA", at positions 115 to 606 of the family's 1533-position model. Lineage: Bacteria; Pseudomonadati; Pseudomonadota; Gammaproteobacteria; Enterobacterales; Enterobacteriaceae. The record is from RNAcentral.